Molecule: ribosomal RNA, 305 nt
Filed under: uncultured bacterium
Lineage: Bacteria
Description: bacterial SSU rRNA
Rfam family: Bacterial small subunit ribosomal RNA
Source: RNAcentral
CCUACGGGGCGCAGCAGUGGGGAAUAUUGCACAAUGGGGGAAACCCUGAUGCAGCAACGCCGCGUGAAGGAAGACGGUUUUCGGAUUGUAAACUUCUGUUCUUAGUGAAGAAUAAUGACGGUAGCUAAGGAGCAAGCAUCGGCUAACUCCGUGCCAGCAGCCGCGGUAAUACGGAGGAUGCGAGCGUUAUCCGGAUUUAUUGGGUUUAAAGGGUGCGCAGGCGGCGAGUUAAGUCAGCGGUAAAAUUUCGGGGCUCAACCCCGACGAGCCGUUGAAACUGGCUUGCUAGAGUGGGCGAGAAGUAG